Peromyscus maniculatus bairdii (prairie deer mouse) is the source of this 1192-nucleotide long non-coding RNA. RefSeq lists it as uncharacterized. The record is from RefSeq and is a predicted model, not a curated record. Lineage: Eukaryota; Metazoa; Chordata; Mammalia; Rodentia; Cricetidae.
AUCACGGAGUUAGUUACAGAUUAUGGCCAAACACAAUGGAAUAGAACAUUGCCUGUGAAGAGAACAGAAUGUUCUGGCUCGGAAAAGAACUGGUCUGACCUAUGGAGAUAAGCAGAGAGAGAUUGGGAAGAGCACGCAGAGCGGGAUCACAUGAAGGACAGCUUCUCCACAGAGACCAAGGAAAAAGGAACAACAACAUAAUGAGUGAAAAGGAGAUCAGGAAAAAAAGGGGGGGGGGAGGAAAUUGUGACUAAAGAUGAAAACUUUAAUUACAAUGACCUAAAGAGCUCAGGAAGAAGCAGACUGUCUAGCAGAUUUUUAUGUUUCCUAUGUAUGUAGCUAUGAUUAAAGUAAUGUCAUAAGAUAUAAUUCAUACCUUCAGAUAUUAUUAUAAAUAUACACAUUGGGCUAUUAAUUUCAAGAUACUAAAGACACUAAUGCCUGCAGUGGGUAAACCAGGAAUAUUUACAUGAAGUUCUUCAAGUGAACAAAGUUCUCAUAAUAGUGAACAGAAUCUGAAAAAUCAGUUUUUCUGACAAUCUGCAUAGGACCUAAUUUAACGCUGCAGUUACGAAGAACAAAGCACAUAAACAAGGAAACUGCAAGGAAAUUUUCAUUUCUAGAAAAACAGUAAAGACAGUACACAAAAGGAACUGCACUGACUGACAGAUAUUCACAAACUCCUAACAAAAGUCAACAGCUUCCUGCCAACGAAGAAACAUGCCGGGGGCCCCAGGAUGUGGAUAAUAAGAAAGGUUUGAAGAGCCAGUGACACCAAGCAACAUUUAAGUUCCAGACAUUUCACAAGAUAAAAGAGCAAAUGCAAUCCAUAGUCUCCGAUAGCCAGCUUUGGGAAGAAGAGUUAAAGUAGUGAUGUAAACAAGAGAUUCAGCUGAGAAUCAUACAAUGGGAGACUGUAACAGCAUGGCCUGACCAGAUUUGUUGGUUUGAGAAAAGCCUCUUUGAACAAAUGUCUGCUAAGCUGAGGCCUAAAGAAUGUCUCAGAGGAAACCAGGACAGAGUGACCAGAAAACAUCUCUGAGAGGAACAAAAUGUGUGAAAAGACGAGGUUGGCAUGACUCUGAAAAUGUCUCUUUUUAAAAAAUGGUUCAUCUAGAAUUUGAAAUCACAACAAAAAAAAGUUGCAUUUGCAACAUGGAUGGACCUUGAAGAAAUGCUAAAUGAAUAAAUA